Molecule: ribosomal RNA, 305 nt
Filed under: uncultured bacterium
Lineage: Bacteria
Description: partial 16S ribosomal RNA
Rfam family: Bacterial small subunit ribosomal RNA
Source: RNAcentral
CCCUACGGGGGGCAGCAGUGGGGGAUAUUGCACAAUGGGGGGAACCCUGAUGCAGCGACGCCGCGUGGGUGAAGAAGCGCCUCGGCGCGUAAAGCCCUGUCAGCAGGGAAGAAAAUGACGGUACCUGAAGAAGAAGCCCCGGCUAACUACGUGCCAGCAGCCGCGGUAAUACGUAGGGGGCAAGCGUUAUCCGGAUUUACUGGGUGUAAAGGGGGCGCAGACGGCGAUGCAAGCCAGGAGUGAAAGCCCGGGGCCCAACCCCGGGACUGCUCUUGGACCUGCGUGGCUGGAGUGCAGGAGGGGCG